This is an RNA transcript of Cebus imitator (Panamanian white-faced capuchin), 3866 nucleotides long. It is a transcript of the gene named hypoxia-inducible factor 1-alpha-like, with no coding region annotated. The record is from RefSeq and is a predicted model, not a curated record. Lineage: Eukaryota; Metazoa; Chordata; Mammalia; Primates; Cebidae. The transcript has a single exon.
UGACAAGCCGCCCGAGGACAGGCUCCGAGCCUGGCCCGGACCCCAGCGUUGCCCCCCACUUCUCUUCCUUCUGUUCCCACCAGCGGUUUCCCGCCUCGCACCUCCACCUCUGGACUUGCCUUUCCUUCUCUCCGCGCGUGGAGGGAGCCAGCGCUUAGGCCGGAGUGAGCCAGGGGGCUGCCCGCCGUGAAGGCACGCGGGGACCGAUUCACCAUGGAGGGCGCCAGCGGCGCGAACCACAAGAACAAGAUAAGUUCUGAACGUCGAAAAGUCUCGAGAUGCAGCCAGAUCUCGCCGAAGAAUCUGAAGUUUUUUAUGAGCUUGCUCAUCAGUUGCCACGUCCACAUAAUGUGAGCUCACAUCUUGAUAAGGCUUCUGUUAUGGGAUUUACCAUCAGCUACCUGCGUGUGAGGAAACUGCUGGAUGCUGGUGAUUUGGAUAUUGAAGAUGAAAUGAAAGCACAAAUGAAUUGCUUUUAUUUGAAAGCCUUGGAUGGUUUUAUUAUGGUUCUCACAGAUGAGGGUGACAUGAUUUACAUUUCCGAUAAUGUGAGCAAAUACAUGGGAUUAACUCAGUUUGAACUCACUGGACACAGGGUGUUUGAUUUUACUCAUCCAUGUGACCAAGGGGAAAUGAGAGAAAUGCUUACACAGAAAUGGCCCUGUGAAAAAGGGUAAAGAACAAAACACACAGCGAAGCUUUUUUCUCAGAAUGAAGUGUACCUUAACUAGCCGAGGGAGAAGUAUGAACAUAAAGUCUGCAACAUGGAAGGUAUUACACUGCACAAGCCAUAUUCACGUAUUGAUACCAACAGUAACCAACCUCAGUGUGGGCGUAAGAAACCACCUAUGACCUGUUUGGUGCUGAUUUGUGAACCCAUUCCUCACCCAUCAAAUAUUGAAAUUCCUUUAGAUAGCAAGACUUCUCUCAGUCGACACAGCCUGGAUAUGAAAUUUUCUUAUUGUGAUGAAAGAAUUACCGAAUUGAUGGGAUAUGAGCCAGAAGAACUUUUAGGCCGCUCAAUUUACAAAUAUUAUCAUGCUUUAGACUCUGAUCAUCUGACCAAAACCCAUCAUGAUAUGUUUACUAAAGGACAAGUCACCACAGGACAGUACAGGAUGCUUGCCAAAAGAGGUGGAUAUGUCUGGGUUCAAACUCAAGCCACUGUCAUAUAUAACACCAAGAACUCUCAACCACAGUGCAUUGUGUGUGUAAAUUAUGUUGUGAGUGGUAUUAUUCAGCACAACUUGAUUUUCUCCCUUCAACAAACAGAAUGUGUCCUUAAACUGGUUGAAUCUUCAGAUAUGAAAAUGACUCAGCUGCUCACCAAAGUUGAAUCAGAAGAUACAAGUAGCCUCUUUGAUAAGCUUAAGAAGGAACCUGAUGCUUUAACUUUGCUGGCCCCGGCUGCUGGAGACACAAUCAUAUCUUUAGAUUUUGGCAGCAAUGACACAGAAACUGAUGACCAGCAACUUGAGGAAGUACCAUUGUAUAAUGAUGUAAUGCUCCCCUCAUGCAAUGAAAAAUUACAGAAUAUCAAUUUGUCAAUGUCUCCAUUAGACACCUCUGAAACUCCAAAGCCACUUCAAAGUAGUGCUGACCCUGCACUGAAUCAAGAAGUUGCAUUAAAAUUAGAACCAAAUCCAGAGUCACUGGAACUUUCUUUUACCAUGCCCCAGAUUCAGGAUCAGCCACCCAGUCCUUCUGAUGGAAGCAUAAGACAAAGUUCACCUGAGCCUAACAGUCCCAGUGAAUAUUGUUUUUAUGUGGAUAGUGAUACGGUCAAUGAAUUCAAGUUGGAAUUGGUAGAAAAACUUUUUGCUGAAGACACGGAAGCGAAGAACCCAUUUUGUACUCAGGACACCGAUUUAGACUUGGAGAUGUUAGCUCCCUAUAUCCCAAUGGAUGCUGACUUUCAGUUAAGCUCCUUUGAUCAGUUGUUACUGUUAGAAAGCAGUUCUGCAAGCCCUGAAAGCGCAAGCCCUCAAAGCACCGUUACAGUAUUCCAGCAGACUCAGAUACAAGAACUUACUGCUAAUGCCACCACUACCACUACUGAUGAAUUAAAAACAGGGACAAAAGACCGUAUGGAAGACAUUAAAAUAUUGAUUCCAUCUCCAUCUCCUACCCACAUACAUAAAGAAACUACUAGUGCCACAUCAUCGCCAUAUAGAGAUACUCAAAGUCCGACAGCCUCACCAAACAGAGCAGGAAAAGGGGUCAUAGAACAGACAGAAAAGUCUCAUCCAAGAAGCCCUAACGUGUUAUCUGUUGCUUUGAGUCAGAGAACUACAGUUCCUGAGGAAGAACUAAAUCCAAAGAUACUAGCUUUGCAGAAUGCUCAGAGAAAGCGAAACAUUGAACAUGAUGGUUCGCUUUUUCAAGCAGUAGGAAUUGGAACAUUAUCAGCAGCCAGAUGAUCAUGCAACUACUACAUCACUUUCCUGGAAACGUGUAAAAGGAUGCAAAUCUAGUGAACAGAAUGGAAUGGAGCAAAAGACAAUUAUUUUAAUAUCCUCUGAUUUAGCAUGUAGACUGCUGGGGAAAUCAAUGGAUGAAAGUGGAUUACCACAGCUGACCAGUUAUGAUUGUGAAGUUAAUGCUCCUAUACAAGGCAGCAGAAACCUACUGCAGGGCGAAGAAUUACUCAGAGCUUUGGAUCAAGUUAACUGAGCUUUUUCAUAAUUUCAUUCCUUUUUUUGGACACUGGUGGCUCAUUACCUAAAGCAGUCUAUUUAUAUUUUCUACAUCUAAUUUUAGAAGCCUGGCUAUAAUACUGCACAAACUUGGUUAGUUCAAUUUUGAUUCCCUUUCAACUUAAUUUACAUUAAUACUCUUUUUUAGUGUGUUCUUUAAUGCUGGAUCACAGACAGCUCAUUUUCUCAGUUUUUUGGUAUUUAAACCAUUGCAUUGCAGUAGCAUCAUUUUUAAAAAUGCACCUUUUUAUUUAUUUAUUUUUGGCUAGGGAGUUUAUCCCUUUUUUGAAUUAUUUUAAUAAGAUGCCAAUAUAAUUUUUGUAAGAAGGCAGUAAGCUUUCAUCAUGAUCAUAGGCAGUGAAAAAAUUUUUACAUCUUUUUUUCACAUUUUACAUAAACAAAAAUGCUGGCAACAAAUUGCCAGCAGUAAGUGGUAGCCACAAUUGCACAAUAUAUUUUCUUAAAAAAUACCAGCAGUUACUCAUGGAAUAUAUUCUGUGUUUAUAAAACUAGUUUUUAAGAAGAAAUUUUUUUUUGGCCUAUGAAAUUGUUAAACCUGGAACAUGACAUUGUUAAUCAUAUAAUAAUGAUUCUUAAAUGCUGUAUGGUUUAUUAUUUAAAUGGGUAAAGCCAUUUACAUGAUAUAGAAAGAUAUGCAUAUAUCUAGAAGGUAUGUGGCAUUUAUUUGGGUAAAAUUCUCAAUUCAGAAAAAUCAUCUGAUGUUUCUAUAGUCACUUUGCCAGCUCAAAAGAAAACAAUACCCUAUGUAGUUGUGGAAGUUUAUGCUAAUAUUGUGUAACUGAUAUUAAACCUAAAUGUUCUGCCUACCCUGUUGAUAUAAAGAUAUUUUGAGCAGACUGUAAACAAGAAAAAAAAAUCAUACAUUCUUAGCAAAAUUGCCUCGUAUGUUAAUUUGCUCAAAAUACAAUGUUUGAUUUUAUGCACUUUGUCGCUAUUAACAUCCUUCUUUUUUCAUGUAGAUUUCAAUAAUUGAGUAAUUUUAGAAGCAUUAUUUUAGGAAUAUAUAGUUGUCACCAUAAAUAUCUUGUUUUUUCUAUGUACAUUGUACAAAUUUUUCAUUCCCUUUGCUCUUUGUGGUUGGAGUUAACACUAACUGUAUUGUUUUGUUACAUCAAAUAAACAUCUUCUGUGGACCAGGAAAAAAAAAAA